This 497-nucleotide ribosomal RNA is filed under the name uncultured bacterium. Its description in RNAcentral is "partial 16S ribosomal RNA". It matches the Rfam family "Bacterial small subunit ribosomal RNA", at positions 28 to 507 of the family's 1533-position model. The record is from RNAcentral.
GAUGAACGCUGGCGGCGUGCCUAAUACAUGCAAGUCGAGCGAACGGACGAGAAGCUUGCUGCUUUGACGUUAGCCGAGGACGGGUGAGUAACGCGUGUAUAACCUACCUAUAAGACUGGUAUAACUUCGGGAAUCCGGAGCUAAUCCCGGAUGAUAUCUUGCACCGCGUGGGUCAAUGGUAAAAUACGGUGUUUCUGGCACGUCUAGAUGGAUCUGCGCUGCAUUAGGUGGUUGGGAGGGUAACGGCUUACCAAGGCAACGAUGCAUAGACGACGUGAUAGGGUGGUAGGCGACACUGGAACGGAGACACGGUCCAGACUCCUACGGGAGGCAGCAGUAGGGAAUCUUACGCAAUGGGCGAAAGCCUGACGGAGCAACGCGGCGUGAGUGAUGGAAGUCUUGGGAGCGUAAAACUCUGUUAUUAGGGAAGAACAUAUGUGUAAGUAACUGUGCACAUCUUGACGGUACCUAGUCAGAAAGCAACGGCUAACUACGUG